GAUGUAUAGGAGCUGACGCCUGCCCGGUGCUGGAAGGUUAAGGGGAUCUGUUAGAGCAAUCGAAGCAGUGAACUUAAGCCCCAGUAAACGGCGGCCGUAACUAUAACGGUCCUAAGGUAGCGAAAUGCCUUGUCGGGUAAGUUCCGACCCGCACGAAAGGCGUAACGAUUUGGGCACUGUCUCAACAACAGACUCGGUGAAAUUGUAAUUCCGGUGAAGAUGCCGGAACGCGACAGGACGGAAAGACCCCAUGG
RNAcentral lists this ribosomal RNA (254 nucleotides) under Clostridioides difficile. Its description in RNAcentral is "partial 23S ribosomal RNA". It matches the Rfam family "Bacterial large subunit ribosomal RNA", at positions 1840 to 2096 of the family's 2925-position model. The record is from RNAcentral. Lineage: Bacteria; Bacillati; Bacillota; Clostridia; Peptostreptococcales; Peptostreptococcaceae.